CCCCCGCCGACCUGGAUCCAGUGGGAGCGGGAAGGGAGGCGCUAACCAUUCCCCUCCCAUUCCACCCCUCGCGGCCCCAAAUUCCGCGAGUCAGGUGACCCGGCCCCGGGCUCUGGCCGGGACCUGCGGGGGGUGCUCUCCGCCCUCCAGCCCCCGGCGCAUCUCCCCGGCCCGCGCGUCCCGGCUGUUCGUGGCUUGCUUUUAGUCUCCAGGGAUCGUGGGACCCUUCUCCGCGGAUCUGUUUCAUCCUCUUAACCUGAAGGAGUCAGCAGAGAUUUCUCCAAGGGUAAGAGGCUACUACAAUAUUCUUCUCAGUGAGGUUGGGCACCUGCCGAGGAAACGAGGCUAAGAUCUUUGGCAAUAAAUACAUUCCGAAGACCUGCAUCAGUGCCCUGCUUGCAGAGUGUGGCAGAGAAGCUAAGCAUCUCAAACUCGGCAUUACAGACCUGAGAAGGCUGUAAGACUCUCUGGUCCAUCAUCACACGGGAGGAAUAUAAAUCCUCAGAGCUGUGCUGGGCAGCAUGUUAGCUGCUAGCCACACAUGGCUGCUGGACACUUGAAAUGUUGCUAGUCUGAAUUGUGCUGUGCUGUAAAUGCAAUUCACACCAGAUUUCAAAGAGUGCAGAAACUGAGUUUCAAGUAGAUCCAGCAACUUGCCCAAGUCGUAAAACCAGAAAGAGUGGAGCCGAGAAUCAAAGCUUGGAUGCCUGACCAGAGUGGACCUUUGAAACACUCCUCUGUAUAUUGUCUUCAGGCUGCCUGUAUUUACAAACUCUGAUAUUGACCUCAUUACUUCUCCCCGUUCUGCAGGCAGAAGACUGCUAUGAGAGCACUUAGGACCCAAGCGACAUCAGCCUUGGAACAGGCAAAUAAAAA
RNAcentral lists this long non-coding RNA (876 nucleotides) under Homo sapiens (human). RNAcentral's name for it is "HSALNT0325996". The record is from RNAcentral. Lineage: Eukaryota; Metazoa; Chordata; Mammalia; Primates; Hominidae.